GCCUUGAUGGCUCAGUGGUUAGAUCCUCUGCUCUAGCUACUGGUACCACAAAGGCCCCCUGUUCGAAUCAGUCGGUUGACGCG
Paecilomyces variotii is the source of this 83-nucleotide non-coding RNA. NCBI's taxonomy places the organism in Eukaryota, Fungi, Ascomycota, Eurotiomycetes, Eurotiales, Thermoascaceae. The record is from the annotation of a RefSeq genome assembly.